GACGAACGCUGGCGGCGUGCCUAAUACAUGCAAGUUGAGCGCUGAAGGUUGGUACUUGUACCGACUGGAUGAGCAGCGAACGGGUGAGUAACGCGUGGGGAAUCUGCCUUUGAGCGGGGGACAACAUUUGGAAACGAAUGCUAAUACCGCAUAAAAACUUUAAACACAAGUUUUAAGUUUGAAAGAUGCAAUUGCAUCACUCAAAGAUGAUCCCGCGUUGUAUUAACUAGUUGGUGAGGUAAAGGCUCACCAAGGCGAUGAUACAUAGCCGACCUGAGAGGGUGAUCGGCCACAUUGGGACUGAGACACGGCCCAAACUCCUACGGGAGGCAGCAGUAGGGAAUCUUCGGCAAUGGACGAAAGUCUGACCGAGCAACGCCGCGUGAGUGAAGAAGGUUUUCGGAUCGUAAAACUCUGUUGGUAGAGAAGAACGUUGGUGAGAGUGGAAAGCUCAUCAAGUGACGGUAACUACCCAGAAAGGGACGGCUAACUACGUG
This 497-nucleotide ribosomal RNA is filed under the name uncultured bacterium. RNAcentral's name for it is "partial 16S ribosomal RNA". It matches the Rfam family "Bacterial small subunit ribosomal RNA", at positions 28 to 507 of the family's 1533-position model. The record is from RNAcentral.